UACAGAGGGGGCAAGCGUUGUUCGGAAUUACUGGGCGUAAAGGGCGCGUAGGCGGCCUGUUAAGUCGAACGUGAAAUCCCCGGGCUCAACCCGGGAACUGCGUCCGAAACUGGCGGGCUCGAAUUCGGGAGAGGGAUGCGGAAUUCCAGGUGUAGCGGUGAAAUGCGUAGAUAUCUGGAGGAACAUCGGUGGCGAAGGCGGCAUCCUGGACCGAUAUUGACGCUGAGGCGCGAAAGCCAGGGGAGCAAACGGG
RNAcentral lists this ribosomal RNA (253 nucleotides) under uncultured bacterium. RNAcentral describes it as "partial 16S ribosomal RNA". It matches the Rfam family "Bacterial small subunit ribosomal RNA", at positions 524 to 776 of the family's 1533-position model. The record is from RNAcentral.